This 253-nucleotide ribosomal RNA is filed under the name uncultured bacterium. RNAcentral's name for it is "partial 16S ribosomal RNA". It matches the Rfam family "Bacterial small subunit ribosomal RNA", at positions 524 to 776 of the family's 1533-position model. The record is from RNAcentral.
UACGAAGGGUGCAAGCGUUACUCGGAAUUACUGGGCGUAAAGCGUGCGUAGGUGGUUUGUUAAGUCUGAUGUGAAAGCCCUGGGCUCAACCUGGGAACGGCAUUGGAAACUGGCUUACUAGAGUGCGGUAGAGGGGUGUGGAAUUCCCGGUGUAGCAGUGAAAUGCGUAGAGAUCGGGAGGAACAUCAGUUGCGAAGGCGGCUCUCUGGACCAGCACUGACACUGAGGCACGAAAGCGUGGGGAGCAAACAGG